CACAACACAGCAUACUAUUAAUACUGGGUUAUAUAAAUAUUCUUUCACAAUCAAUAAGCCGUAGAAGCUACAAAUCAUAUUAAUACAAAUUACAUAAACAGCUUAGCUGUAGACCGUGAUACACGCGCGUCGACGAGCCUCCGAGGCAAGAAAAUAUGCUAUUAUGCUGACAACAUACAAAGUGUUACAAAGACAGCUUCGUCAUAACGGGGAGCGCUUGGGGUACCUUCUUUCUCGCAACAGACCUGCUUUGUAACCACACGCCAGCUUUUCAAAUCCAUAAAAAGGUCAUGUCAAUCCAGACCACUUGAAGUGGCCGAUGCAUCGGCAGGUGCAUCAGCACCGUGAGCGAUGUGUUCGUAUGGUAACCGAGCGGAGAAGAGGCAAGUGAGAGAUGCAAGAUGUCGGGUCGGCCAUGCGGCCGACCUGUCACCGUCUCUCGGAGGCAAACGCCGGGACGGUGGAGCAUCCAAACGAGCUGUGCACGAAGAUCGCGCACGCGGACCGGCUCGUGGACAACCAUGAUAAUCCGCGAUGACAGGAGUGAUUCCGCGGAGGGAUGGAGGGAAGGCGAGAGAGAGAGAGAGAGAAAGCGAGAAAGAGAGAGGGACAAUAUAACCUCACCUCGUCAACGGCGUCGACGUCCUUGCCGUUCUUCGUCUUCUCCUUGCCGCUCUUCGCCGUCUCCUAGAACAGAAGCAAGCUGAUGAGAAGACGUACGUACGUUUUGCAUGGCGGAAUAUUGGCGAGUAAUAGCAGAGAGGAACCUCUCUGAUAAUAGCAAUUGGAUUCACCGAGACCGGACGGUUCUCAUAAUUCUUUGUUUGGAAGAUUUCCCAGGCGCUUAAUUGUAUCAUACAUAAAAUCGGAUAAUUUCACGUUAGUUACUUUGACUGACACAAGUAAAGAAGAGGACGUGAACAUAAUGGCCUGGUUAAUGAAUAAGAGACUAGCGUUAAUUGAUAUGAUAAAACGAUAUUAUGUACAAUUAUUAAUAAUUAUAUCAUUAUUAAUAAUAAAUGUUACUAUGUAUUUCGAAUUACAUUACUUAUAAUAUAAUUCUAAUGUAAUUUCAAAUCUAAU
This is a long non-coding RNA of Monomorium pharaonis (pharaoh ant), 1083 nucleotides long. RefSeq lists it as uncharacterized. The transcript has 3 exons. NCBI's taxonomy places the organism in Eukaryota, Metazoa, Arthropoda, Insecta, Hymenoptera, Formicidae. The record is from RefSeq and is a predicted model, not a curated record.